AAAGGGUCUCAGGUUGGUUUAUUGCUAUGGUGUCUGCCUGCAAUACAAAUAUUCACAGAUUCCAACAAGGCAAUUACAAAAAUCUGAUUUGUAGGUGUAAUAAUGUUCGUACAUGGACAAUAUACAGGGGGGAAAAAAACCCCAGCUAUCUACAAGGAGAAGAUAAUUUAGAAACAGGUUCAAGAAGGAAAUCAAGACAAUCAUGGUCAAACAUAGCUAUUUAUUUUCUCUUAUAAACAGCCUUCAGCUUCUCAUUGAAAAAAACCUAGAAUUUAAAUAUUCUGUCCCAUCACAUACAACAAUCUGUAUACAAUAUUUACAACUCUCAAAUAAACAUGGUGCAGAUUUUCAGACAUUCAACUUUUUUCCUUUGUAAUUAAAAGCUGUUCUUAUUUAAAACUACAAUAUUGAUCAGUGACUACCAGCGGAAGCGGUAUUGGCACAGUUAGCUCACAGUAAGGGUUCUCAUCUUGCACUCUGUAUUUUACAACACAUUUUAUCCCAUAUAUUUCAGGAUUCUAAAGGAGGAGACAAGGUUAGUGUUGCUUUCAUCAUCUCCAAUUUCUUUUUUGCCUUCAAAAACAGCCUUUUAUUGAAACCUCCUUCACUUUAUUGCCUUCUCUCUCUUGCGUGGCACAUCAAGGCAUGAUGUGCCUCUAGGUACUAAGUAACACCACCACAGUGUAGUCAAGUAGUACCACAAGCCUCGGAAAUAAGUGUUCCCUCCAUGACACGUCUCUGAAAAAUGUUCCAAGUUGCAAAUGUACAAAAAUAAUGAGUAUAGUUUAGUGGCUAUAAAAAUUAAUUUCCCCUAAAAAUACAAUACUCUAUGAACACUUUAGGGAGUUGGAAAGCAGGAAAAUCAAAAGGUUUAACACUUAGAAUAACCAAUGUUAGUCUCAUCCUAGAAGAGAAGAUAUCCAGGGAAUGAUGAGGGCAUCCAUAAAACUGCUAGUGGUUUUAAUAGUGCAGCUUGGAAAAAAACAACUGGUAUCAGCAGGGAAGGAAACUGGACCUGGCAUAACAGGGAAUCUUUUAAUGAAAGGGAAGCAAGGAGCCUGUGUUCAAGCCACAGCUUUUUAAUAGUCCAACGGAAAGGGGGUGGUUUAUAUACAGUAAUAGAGCACUCCACCAGGUAGGACGGGUGAGAGGGCAGCGAGAAAAGGAACAACUAUCCAAAAGGGAUGUGUUUAGAGUGAAAUUGUGUCUGGUGGUUCCAGAGAAAGGAAGGGAAGGUGAGAAAUCUGGAAGGUAAGUAAAGUCCAUAGCAGCAAAUAGGUAUCCUUACCUGUUACGUGCGUGUCAGGGAGACUGGGAGAAUAUUCCGUUCCUAAAUACUGAGUAAGGAGAGUGCUCCUCUCUAGCGUAAAGUAAAAGCAAAAGUCCAAAGCUCUACAUUGCAUAGUAAGCAGUAAAAGAAACUUGAUACUUGCAGAUGGGCCACCUGCCCAUGGAAACCUGUUUUCUCCCUUCCUCUAGCAUUCAGCUACCUGCAACAGCAGAACAUGGCGGGUUUAUUUUCUAUUUGCAUGAUUAACUCGAAUCCCUGCCUUGAAUUUGAAAGACUGGAACGUGACGUAUCCACACCACCUCAGCAGUGCCAUCACUGGCAGCGGUGGCUGAACUUGACCUGCUUGGCAGCGCCUGCCCCAUCCCAUCUCGAGGUAGAUGAACCUCCUGAAGUUACCACCCAAGUCACUGACGUGCUCCGAGAUGCCGGUGGCUGGAAACCACCACAAACCAUAGGAUUUAAGGACCCAUUUACAUGGGAAGGCCUAAGGCAGUGCUGGCAGCCCAGACUGGCUCAACCCCACCAGCACUUUCCACUUCCAGUGACAGCAAAGCUCAGUUUUAGUCUGAUGACACCAGAGUGCACUUUAACGUGGCCUGGAGCAGCGCAGGGUUUGUUCAGGAUUCGUUUCUCUGGGGUUUAUUUGGGGGGCGAGAGGGUGCCCUCCUGUUUCCGCCCAAUAAAUGCACUAUUUUAUCAACACAUUCACUCCACCCAGACUCCAUCUGUACAUCAUGGCAACUUCUGUUUAGCAUUUCAAUGUGCCCUUGCUUCAAGAGUGUAAACACGCAUCAGCUUCUGGUCCCACACCUUUUUGAAGCAAAAAGCUGCAAAUAUAAACAGCAUAGGGAUACUAAAUCCCAAAUGCUGCAUACAUGUCUUCGAUAUUGUUAUUUUCAAGUGUUGUUGUAUAAUUAAACAAUGUGUUCAUAGAGCUGUCAGGCAAAUCAUGAUCUCCAAGCUUUUAUUACAGGCCUAGGAGCUAGUCUGUAACAGGGUUUUCUACUGCCAGAUACUAAAUCCAAAGAACACACUAUCCACGUGAGACUCAUUUUUUGCAUAAGAAAUUCUAAUUCUGACUGGCUGAACUGCACCAGAUGCCUCUAAAUUUCUAGAAUUGGCUAUUUAAAAGAGAAAAAAAAAAAAAAAAAAGCAAACCACUUCCCAAAGCAGAAGUAUGCCAAAAAUGAGAGCUACUGCACUGGUAUCACUCCAAGCAAAUCCUAACACUUCCAAAUAUUUUUCUUUCAAGUUUCUUGCUGGUACAUGACACCAAACCAAUGAGACAGCUUGAAAUCUAAUGGAGGUUAUCUCCAAUUUAGCACCUUGGAGCAGGCUUCUGCCAUUCUCCUGUGUCUUGCUGUGAUAACUUGAGCUCUAGCAUGGGUCAAGAAGGCUCCUCUCAAGUGUUAUCAGCACAGGGAACAUGCACAUGCAGCCUCUCCAGCA
RNAcentral lists this long non-coding RNA (2740 nucleotides) under Strigops habroptila (Kakapo). RNAcentral describes it as "lncRNA (ENSSHBG00005000884.1)". Lineage: Eukaryota; Metazoa; Chordata; Aves; Psittaciformes; Psittacidae. The record is from RNAcentral.